RNAcentral lists this ribosomal RNA (499 nucleotides) under uncultured bacterium. Its description in RNAcentral is "partial 16S ribosomal RNA". It matches the Rfam family "Bacterial small subunit ribosomal RNA", at positions 28 to 507 of the family's 1533-position model. The record is from RNAcentral.
GACGAACGCUGGCGGCGUGCAUAAUACAUGCAAGUCGAGCGGACCGAACAGGAGCUUGCUCUUGUUCGGUUAGCGGCGGACGGGUGAGUAACACGUGGGUAACCUGCCCGUAAGACCGGGAUAACUCCGGGAAACCGGAGCUAAUACCGGAUAACACCGAAGACCGCAUGGUCUUUGGUUGAAAGGCGGCUUCGGCUGCCACUUACGGAUGGGCCCGCGGCGCAUUAGCUAGUUGGUGAGGUAACGGCUCACCAAGGCGACGAUGCGUAGCCGGCCUGAGAGGGUGACCGGCCACACUGGGACUGAGACACGGCCCAGACUCCUACGGGAGGCAGCAGUAGGGAAUCUUCCGCAAUGGACGAAAGUCUGACGGAGCGACGCCGCGUGAGCGAAGAAGGUCUUCGGAUCGUAAAGCUCUGUUGUUAGGGAAGAAGAAGCGUCGUUCGAACAGGGCGGCGCGGUGACGGUACCUAACGAGAAAGCCCCGGCUAACUACGUG